RNAcentral lists this transfer RNA (72 nucleotides) under Minisyncoccota bacterium. Its description in RNAcentral is "tRNA-Glu". It matches the Rfam family "tRNA". From Rfam's summary of the family: Transfer RNA (tRNA) molecules are approximately 80 nucleotides in length. Their secondary structure includes four short double-helical elements and three loops (D, anti-codon, and T loops). Further hydrogen bonds mediate the characteristic L-shaped molecular structure. tRNAs have two regions of fundamental functional importance: the anti-codon, which is responsible for specific mRNA codon recognition, and the 3' end, to which the tRNAs corresponding amino acid is attached (by aminoacyl-tRNA synthetases). tRNAs cope with the degeneracy of the genetic code in two manners: having more than one tRNA (with a specific anti-codon) for a particular amino acid; and 'wobble' base-pairing, i.e. permitting non-standard base-pairing at the 3rd anti-codon position. The record is from RNAcentral. Lineage: Bacteria; Bacillati; Minisyncoccota.
GGCCCCAUCGUCUAAUGGUUAGGACACCACCCUUUCAAGGUGGAGAUAUGAGUUCGACUCUCGUUGGGGCUA